This 340-nucleotide ribosomal RNA is filed under the name uncultured myxomycete. RNAcentral describes it as "bacterial SSU rRNA". It matches the Rfam family "Eukaryotic small subunit ribosomal RNA", at positions 80 to 365 of the family's 1831-position model. The record is from RNAcentral. Lineage: Eukaryota; Evosea; Eumycetozoa.
UCUGAAUCUGCGNACGGCUCCGCAAACCAGUUGUAAACUAUAGCAAGCAAGCCCGGGUUCUCUUCACGGGGAGCUCGGGCGAUACGGAUAACCCUGGUAAUUCUGAGGCUAAUACGAGAACGCAAUCCCUGGCUGACCGGGCAACUGGAAGGCUGGGAGGCGUGCACGUUGUGUCGCGAGAAAUCGCCGGGAAUGGAUGCACGCCUGGACCGCGCCAAAGACAGAUGGGUGUUUCGGCCUUCACGGGCUGGAGUGCCUGCCUGAGCGGCUCUUGCUGUGUGCUUCUGACCUAUCAACUAGACGGCAGCGUAAAGGACAUGCUAUGGUACAACGGGUACAG